Molecule: unclassified non-coding RNA, 109 nt
Organism: Gorilla gorilla gorilla (western lowland gorilla)
Lineage: Eukaryota; Metazoa; Chordata; Mammalia; Primates; Hominidae
Rfam family: Y RNA
About the family: Y RNAs are components of the Ro ribonucleoprotein particle (Ro RNP), in association with Ro60 and La proteins.
Source: Ensembl
GGCUGGUCUGAACGUAGUGAGUUAUCUCGAUUGUUCAUCGUCAGUUACAGAUUGAAUUCCUCAUUCUACUCUUUUUCCCCUUCUCAUUACUGCACUUGUCUGGUCUAAU